GACCGCUUAGCUCAGCUGGCAGAGCAUCAGACUUUUAAUCUGAGGGUCCCGGGUUCGAGACCCGAGCGGUCA
Nerophis lumbriciformis (worm pipefish) is the source of this 72-nucleotide non-coding RNA. The record is from the annotation of a RefSeq genome assembly. Lineage: Eukaryota; Metazoa; Chordata; Actinopteri; Syngnathiformes; Syngnathidae.